GUAGUCAUAUGCUUGUCUCAAAGAUUAAGCCAUGCAUGUCUGAGUAUAAGCAAUUAUACCGUGAAACUGCGAAUGGCUCAUUAAAUCAGUUAUCGUUUAUUUGAUAAUACCUUACUACUUGGAUAACCGUGGUAAUUCUAGAGCUAAUACAUGCUGAAAAUCCCGACUUCGGAAGGGAUGUGUUUAUUAGAUAAAAAACCAAUGCCCUUCGGGGCUUUUUGGUGAUUCAUAAUAACUUCUCAGAUCGCAUGGCCUUGCGCCGGCGACGGUUCAUUCAAAUUUCUGCCCUAUCAACUUUCGAUGGCAAGGUAUUGGCUUACCAUGGUCUCAACGGGUAACGGGGAAUUAGGGUUCGAUUCCGGAGAGGGAGCCUGAGAAGCGGCUACCACAUCCAAGGAAGGCAGCAGGCGCGCAAAUUACCCAAUCCCGACACGGGGAGGUAGUGACAAUAAAUACUGAUACAGGGCUCUUUUGGGUCUUGUAAUUGGAAUGAGUACAAUUUAAACCUCUUAACGAGGAACAAUUGGGGGGCAAGUCUGGUGCCAGCAGCC
Molecule: ribosomal RNA, 551 nt
Filed under: uncultured eukaryote
Lineage: Eukaryota
Description: SSU rRNA
Rfam family: Eukaryotic small subunit ribosomal RNA
Source: RNAcentral